This is a long non-coding RNA of Hypomesus transpacificus, 968 nucleotides long. RefSeq lists it as uncharacterized. The transcript is spliced from 3 exons. Lineage: Eukaryota; Metazoa; Chordata; Actinopteri; Osmeriformes; Osmeridae. The record is from RefSeq and is a predicted model, not a curated record.
UGCCGUCUUGUGGGACAAUCUGCUGUCCAGGUCCAUACCUUGUGACAGGCGUCCCAGCAUGCAUCAUAGCAGUCACAUGCUGGCUCUGCAGAUGAAAUUGGAACCAUCAUGGUGAAGUGGUAAUUGGAACUGGCCCAUAUCUCACCUUGUGUGCACCGAAGGAGGUUUCAGUCCCUGGAUGAUGUGCUCACCCGAGUUCACGUCACAGGGACCAGGAGAACACACCGGAUGCAGAGGGGCGGGCUGGACGUGAGCACUACCUGUGUUAUGGUAACUGUAGUCUUGGCCCCCAGCUACAAGGGGCACUGCUGGCCGCAUGUCAGGCAUGACUGAUGGGGAGGGGAAGACCUGCUGUAUGUGGGUCUGCUCCAUUUCUGCUCCACUGGAGCCAAGUAGGUCAACAUGUGGGCUCAGCCUUGUCCCAGUCACUUCCCCACAGUCAGACAAGUCGUCUGCUUCUGAUUCCACGGCAAACAAAAGGGAAACCAAAACAGUUACCGUAUCUUUUCCCGCUCCCUAGCACAGUAGAGAUAAGGAGGAGGGUCAAGUCGCCACGCACACCCGCAGUUCUGAUGCUUGAGCCAUAAGGAACCGGCUACCCUUGGAGUCAGUGUGGGACCAGUGAAAGAAUGAUGAGAGACUUGAGCAUUACCUGAACAAACCGUGUUCUCCUCGUAGGCCAAUGUGCAGUCCUCAGCCGUGGGCUGGUGAGGCAUACUACAACCAUUGGUCCCCAUCUGAGCAAAUACAUAUGUUCAGGGCCUAGGCUAACGUGUUCCAUGUGCUGUUAAGAGGUGAGAUUCAAUGACAAUAGCAAGAACCAAUUUCUGAACGAUUCACCUUGUUUGACACUGUAACUUUGUAGAGGUAAAUAUAAGUGUACAGUUGGAACACAAUGAAGUGACAGACAUCAUUUGCCAAUCAGAACCCAGACCUUUUAAAGAUCGUUGCACUCCACACAGAGUAAA